This 241-nucleotide ribosomal RNA is filed under the name uncultured bacterium. Its description in RNAcentral is "partial 16S ribosomal RNA". It matches the Rfam family "Bacterial small subunit ribosomal RNA", at positions 94 to 334 of the family's 1533-position model. The record is from RNAcentral.
AGCGGCGGACGGGUGAGUAACGCGUGGGUAACCGUGCCUCAUACAGGGGGAUAAAAGUUGGAAACGACUGCUAAUACCGCAUAAGCGCACAGUACCGCAUGGUACCGUGUGAAAAACUCCGGUGGUAUGAGAUGGACCCGCGUCUGAUUAGCUAGUUGGUGGGGUAACGGCCUACCAAGGCGACGAUCAGUAGCCGACCUGAGAGGGUGACCGGCCACAUUGGGACUGAGACACGGCCCAA